GUGAACCAGUUUGAGCCAGUUUGCAGUGUGUCCAGCAGUGAGAGGUCCUCGCGGAGAGUCCAAAACAACAGCGGAUAAUUUAGAAAUAGUGCAGGUGGACUUAACUUGAUCGAUAACGAAAGAAUAUAUUUGAAACAUGGACAGAAUAAAAGACCCGUUUGGGAUGGACCGUAACAGAAAUCUGCAGUUUAAAAGAAGUUGAAGAUGAUUAUUGGGGACUUUGAGGACUGGCUUCUAACAUCAGCACCUUUCACCUCUGUCUCAUUCCCCAAAUACCCCAAAGUUCAAUCCCAGGACCUCUUUUAGCCAGAGUCCUGUGCUACAUUGUAUCUGACAUCAACAGUCACAUCAACAGUCAUGGGUGGCAAUGAAGGAGGAGGACGUGGAUCGGAUCGAUGGAGCCUUUUUGGGAUGCGUCCCGUCGUGCAGAAAUCCCCCACGGACCCGGGGUCUGACUCCAGCAAUCCUGGGGGAUUCAGUCUGCAGUCGUAUUUCGGAGUUCAGAAGUCAACAACUCUGGAUGGCAUCAAGACCCAAGUAAACCUUGUGGUUGAAGAUCCAGCCAACUUGAAGUCUGCCAAGGUGGAUGUAGCAGCUGUGGAGGGGAAAAAACCAGCCCCCCACAAACUCAAACACCGAGAUAUGAACAUUCUCACCCCAUCAGGCUUCUGACGUCUACAGCCACCUUCUCCUGCCCUCAGGUCACCUGAAAAUGUCCACAUAAUCCACACACUUGCUCUGAAACCCUAUUUAGUUCUUUUUCCCCACCAAGCAUGCGUAAGGGUCAUAUUAACAGCAUUCAGAGAGGCACACAAAAUUGACAUCCAUUUGCGUACAAGUAUAUUGUACACACACACCUGUGUAUGCCCUGUUCAUUGACCACUUUGUGGUGCCAAACAUCACUGUUCAAAUUAAAAUGGAUAGAAACAUACUUGAGACAAAUUUCACAACAUUUAGCCCAGAUGUAAUUCUCAGUGCUUUAUUUUUUGAAGUUGAUUGUUGUGACUUUGAAUUGAGUGGUUAUAGUGACAUUCCUUCCAUAACAGAAGAUGUUAAGAUAUAGACUAUGGCUUUGGUAGGUAAAGCUGAUUUUCAAACCUGUGGAAAAAUAACAACUGCCACUUCUGAAUGUGAUGAAAAUGUUAUUGUGCCACUCAAGACAGACCACUUUGAGCAAGGUAUUUCAAUGGUGCACCAGAAACUUGAUUCAACAGUAGGCUUCCAACGAUACGAGGGAUAGUUCUGUUUGAAUAGUGAUUCUAUUCAAAUCCAAACACUUGUUGCAGCUUUGAUAAUCUUAAUUAUCAGCAAGGUGAGACUUUUAAGGACAUUAUUGCUGAUUAUCGGCUUGUCUUGUGGAUUGAAGUAAUGAAGUCUUUCUGCCCUUGAACACUUGAAACUUGCUAAGGUUUCCCUCGUAUUGUUUUUUGUGGCGAUACUGCUGGAACAGGUUUUUUGCCAUUUAAGUGCUAGUUUUGUGAUGUGUGUAACGAUAGCAUUACUACAUUCAUUUACGUUUUGCUCUGUCCUAACAGGAUCUUUUUUUCGGUUUAAGAAUGCAUGAGAUUGAGGUGUUUGUGUCCCAUAGUCCCCCAGUCCAUAAGCAAUAUCAUUGCACAGUAUGUAUCGACAUGGUUAAAGCACUACAUUGCUGUCACUACCUUUUGCACCAUUUAUGCCAACUCCAUUUUUAGCCACUUGUACUUUUCAUGCUCCCUACACAAUUUUAUAGACACUCCAUUGAUCACUGUUUGUUUGCAGUUGCAAAUCUUUCAUAAUCCCUGUGUAACUCUUGCAGAUAGUUUGAUGAUGCCCCAUUAGACUUUUUUGUAGUGGUGAAUUUUAUCAUUCAUUAUCCUUUGAUAUAAUUUUAAUACUAGUGAUGUCACUUUUGCAUUCCAGUUUGUACAUUAACACAUUUCAUGUAUUGUACUGUACAUAUUUUUUUUCUGCUGUGCAGCUGCUCAAUUUGAGUAUGAUGCUUAAAAUAAAGUUUUAUUUGCAGUAAAAGCA
Molecule: long non-coding RNA, 2013 nt
Organism: Colossoma macropomum (tambaqui)
Lineage: Eukaryota; Metazoa; Chordata; Actinopteri; Characiformes; Serrasalmidae
Exons: 4
Source: RefSeq, a predicted model, not a curated record